Corapipo altera (White-ruffed manakin) is the source of this 235-nucleotide long non-coding RNA. RefSeq lists it as uncharacterized. The transcript is spliced from 2 exons. Lineage: Eukaryota; Metazoa; Chordata; Aves; Passeriformes; Pipridae. The record is from RefSeq and is a predicted model, not a curated record.
GCCACCGACAACCGCCAAACACACCAGCCACGACCCCCGGCCUGCUCGGCGGGACAGCACCUCUGCUCUUCUGCUACUCAGCUUGAGAUGAUGAGCACUGCUGAGGAGAGACUUCUAAUCCCCAACAGCUCUUAACACAAUAGACCUCAACCCCCGCUGAAGACUAGAUGCAAGACCGCCAAAAGUAAAUACUGUGGAUAUUUGUAGGGACUCGUAAAGCUCCUCUCAUGUUUCA